UACGUAGGUGGCAAGCGUUGUCCGGAAUUAUUGGGCGUAAAGCGCGCGCAGGCGGUCCUUUACGCCUGAUGUGAAAGCCCACGGCUCAACCGUGGAGGGUCAUUGGAAACUGGGGGACUUGAGUGCAGGAGAGAAGAGUGGAAUUCCCGGUGUAGCAGUGAAAUGCGUAGAGAUCGGGAGGAACACCAGUGGCGAAGGCGGCUACCUGGACCAGCACUGACACUGAGGCACGAAAGCGUGGGGAGCAAACAGG
Molecule: ribosomal RNA, 253 nt
Filed under: uncultured bacterium
Lineage: Bacteria
Description: partial 16S ribosomal RNA
Rfam family: Bacterial small subunit ribosomal RNA
Source: RNAcentral